RNAcentral lists this ribosomal RNA (253 nucleotides) under uncultured bacterium. RNAcentral describes it as "partial 16S ribosomal RNA". It matches the Rfam family "Bacterial small subunit ribosomal RNA", at positions 524 to 776 of the family's 1533-position model. The record is from RNAcentral.
UACGGAGGAGGCAAGCGUUAUCCGGAAUUAUUGGGCGUAAAGCGCGUGUAGGCGGCUUUGCAAGUCGGGUGUGAAAGCCCUCAGCUCAACUGAGGAAGUGCGCCCGAAACUGCAGAGCUUGAGUACCGGAGAGGAUGGCGGAAUUCCCCAAGUAGAGGUGAAAUUCGUAGAUAUGGGGAGGAACACCGGUGGCGAAGGCGGCCAUCUGGACGGAUACUGACGCUGAGACGCGAAAGCGUGGGUAGCAAACAGG